AUCUCCAAAAUAGCACCUUUCUAAGUUUAUAUCACAAAAAUAGCACUCCAAAACUAAAAUGAUCAAAAUAGCACCAUUCUAAGUUUCUCCUUAAAUCUUAUCCCCAAAACCUCAUUUCUCAACUCUAAACCCUAAACCUUAAACUCUAAACCCUAAACCCUAAACACUAAACUCUAAACCCUAAACCCUAAACCCUAAAACCUAAACUCUAAACCCUAAAUCCUAAACCCUAAAUCC
This 237-nucleotide long non-coding RNA is filed under the name Brassica napus (rape). Its description in RNAcentral is "long non-coding RNA (BNAP_LNC021679)". The record is from RNAcentral. Lineage: Eukaryota; Viridiplantae; Streptophyta; Magnoliopsida; Brassicales; Brassicaceae.